AGAAAUUUUGCAGGUGCAAUUAAGUUAGCCAAUCAAUAAACCUAACAAUCGAGAGAUUAUCCAGGUGGGCCUGACUUAAUCAUAUAAACUCUUUAAAUCUGGGUGUAGAGGUUAGCGACAGAGAAAUCAGAUACUAGAUGCAUCCUUUCUGACUUGAAGAUGAAGGCAAUUUUGUGACAAGUGAUGCUGGUGGCAUGUAAGACCUGUAAGCAGGCCCCAGCUGACAGUCCGUUAGAAAGGAAACAGGGGCUGCAGUUCUCCAACUGCAAAACACGGAAUUUUGCUUGAAAUUUAACUUGGAAGCAGACUUUCUCCCAGAGCUUCUAGAUGAAAACUCAGCCUGGCCAACCCCUUGGUGUCAGCUUUGUGUUACCCUGAGCAGGUACCCAAGACAUAUGGUUCUGGACUGUGGACCCACGGAAAGGGUGAGCAUCCACAUCUACCACCCGUGACCAGACUUCUCCACCUGUUGGCGAGCUUAAGUUAAAGUUAUCAAUAUAUGCCCCAAAACAGCAAUCACCUGGAUGAGAAGCAGAUGACAUCUAAUGUAGACUGUGAAUCCCAAGACACAGACCAGUCCCUGGACGGCUGCUUUCUCUCACAAUGCCAAGACCCUGAUUACACUCUGGUGACAAGAGCUACUUUCAAUCCAAGGAAAGAAGAGGCUUUCUCACUAUUCACACGCGGAGGCACAUGGCAUUUCCUCUGAAACCCAUGAAGCAGACCUCUGCAGCAGUGUUUCCUCGUGCUACGAAAUGGGGCCAAUUCUGGCCAUUAUGUUCACCAGCUUUAUAUAUUCCCUUACUUAUACAAUAGUAGGAAAAUUAAAGUUAAUUCUUUUCAGUUUUGACGGUAUCUAAAAGGCCUUUAUUUGAUGUCAAUAAGUAUCCCAUUUAAAAAUGAGAAAACAAGAAUAUUCACUUACUAUGAAGUGGGUACAUGUAUAGGAGAGAGAAAAAUAGGAGACAAAAGAUGAUAUUGUGAGUCCUUAAUUUUAAAAUGAUAUAAUUUUGUUUUGAAUUAAAGUUUUUGACAAAAUAUCAUUUAACCUGCUAUUGAAGGUACUUCCAAGUUGAUAAAACUAUUAAGAUAAAAAUGAAUUUCAUAUUUUAAGCAAAAUGUGAAAGUAGUACCCCACUUAUUAAAUACAUCGUUCAAACCUCAAUAGAACAGUAUUACAUCUCUAAUUUGUAUCUGCUUAUUAUAUAAUAAAUAUUGGAAAUCACAACACUAAUCAUCGUAGAUAAAAAGAUAUGUAACUUUUGAAUGGUAGAAAAUUUUAACGUUAAUUUAAAAAAAUUAGCCUGAGGUAAAGACAAUAAGAGAAUCCCAUGAAAUGCUUAAUGAAUCAUUUAUUUAAAUCUUCUCAUCAUGAAUUUUUAUCUUUUCACACCAAACUUUUAACUUAAAAAAUCACAUUUUAAAUAGCUUUAUUGAGGUAUGAUUUGCAUACAAUAAAAUUCACUUGUUUCAUGUAUAUAAUUCAAUGACUUUUAAUAAACUUGGUGUUGUGCAACCAGCACUGCAGUUCAAUUUUAAAGAUCUUCAUCACUGAAAAAGAGCCUUUGUGCCUGUUUGCAGUUAUUUCUUGUCCACACCUCAGCUACAGGCAACUAUUAACCUAUUUUACGCAUCUAGAGAUUUGCCUUUCAUAUAGAUGGAAUGAUCCAUUUUGUGGCUUUUUGUGUCAGGCUUUUCAUAAACAUAAUGUUUUUCAAGUUUGUCCAUGUUGUAGAAUGUGCUUGUUUCUCUUUAUUGCUGAAUGGUAUUUCGUUGUCUGGAUAGACCACAUUUGUUUAUUCAUUGAGUAGAUGGACAUUUGACUUAUUUCUAGUUUUUCGGGUUUUAUGAACAAUGCUGCUAAACAUCCUCAUAAAAAUAUUUGUGUGGACAUUUUUCCAUUUCCAUUAGAUGGAUCCUAAAGAUGGAAUUUCUAGAUUGUAUGGUAAAUUUAUGUAUAUCCUUUCAAGAAACUGUCAAACACUUUUCCAAAGUGUCUACAUCAUUUUAUAUUCCCACCUGCAAUGUAUGAAGCUCCAGGGCUGUCCCACUGUAGAAACAGCAUGGAGAACGACUCAAAUGUCGCAGCCAACUGACCCAAUUAACUCCCAGACAUGGCAAUGUGCUACCUUAUAUCACGCAGCACUGGUCAAUUCAUCAAGUGAUGGCAGCUCUAAGCAAGAUGAGCCAACAAAGUUCCAAGCUGAGCCUGGUCCACAUUGGAGUAUCAUGAGUGGAUAAAUGCAAACAAAUACCAUUGUCGCAUAAAAUCUUCCUUGUUGCAAACAUAGAAAGAAUAUUGGAUCAUAUGAAACUUUUGUUUUAUUAUAAGUAGAAGUUCUAUUCCUAAAUAACAUUUCUGCUUUUGAAUUAUUGGUGUU
Equus asinus (donkey) is the source of this 2381-nucleotide long non-coding RNA. The record is from Ensembl. Lineage: Eukaryota; Metazoa; Chordata; Mammalia; Perissodactyla; Equidae.